AUACGUAGGUGGCAAAUGUUGUCCGGAAUCAUUGGGCGUAAAGGGUCCGUAGGUGGCUUGAAAAGUCUUAUGUGAAAUCUCUUGGCUCAACCAAGAAAAGCCAUAAGAAACUUUCAUGCUAGAGAUCAUCAGAGGGAGGUAGAAUUUCAGGUGUAGUGGUGAAAUGCGUAGAUAUCUGAAGGAAUACCAAUGGCGAAAGCAGCCUCCUGGGGUGAAUCUGACAUUGAGGGACGAAAGCGUGGGUAGCAAACCGGAUUAGAUACCCGGGUAGUCCAUGCCGUAAACGAUGAAUACUGGGUCUUCGGGGGAUUCGACCCCCUGUGGACCGAAGCUAACGCGUUAAGUAUUCCGCCUGGGGAGUACGGUCGCAAGACUAAAACUCAAAGGAUUGACGGGGCCCGCGACAAGCAGCGGAGCGUGUGGUUUAAUUCGAUGGUAAACGAAGAACCUUACCUAGGUUUGACAUAUAAGUGGUACUGACCCGAAAGGUGAUGGACCCGCAAGGGAGCGUUAUACAGGUGCUGCAUGGUUGUC
Molecule: ribosomal RNA, 534 nt
Filed under: uncultured bacterium
Lineage: Bacteria
Description: bacterial SSU rRNA
Rfam family: Bacterial small subunit ribosomal RNA
Source: RNAcentral